UGGGGCCCCACCUGCCCUGAAUGACGUGUCACCACUGGACAUAACAUAGUAAAUCUAAAUCCUGGACACUUAAAUUAGUGUAACAUGUUACAUUUGGUAUGAAUACAUGAGACAGAAAAUGUCUUAAGGCAAAAACGAAAGGAACCCUAACCUUAACCGUUUAAACAAAUUCAUAACCUUAACCCUAAACUAGCUAUUGUUAGCCAGCUAGCUAGCGUUAGCGUUGUUUUUACUAUCAGUAUUUGCCUUCUUACCAUAAUCCUCAGAUUUCAAAAGACAUAAGUAUUGCUUCUAUUACUUUACAAACUAUUUGACUAUUGUGUGACAUGAGGUUGUUUGAUUAGGGAUAAAGACAGAUGAACAAUAUGCUUUAACAAUACCAGUAAGCUCUCCCACCCAUGAUUGUAUUUUACAUCUCUUUUAGAGUUGUUGAUCCUAUGAGAGGUAUUUCUUAACUAUAUGUUUAUGACAAUAGCAGUGAACUCCCAUUACGCUCUUUUACAGUAGAUUUGGCUCAUAAUAUGAAAUGUGGCUUUUGACAGCUGGUUCAACAUAUCAGUGGAACAGGUUGUGUGUGUUUGCUGUAUUUGCCUGGUUAUUGUUGGUCUGUCAUUCGAGGUUCAUGAUGUUGCGUAUCUCACGUCUCUGUUCUUCUGCUUGGCAGUUUUGUAAUGAUGGGUCUACCAGGUCCUCCUGGCAGGGGUCUACCUGGGUCAAAGGGUUCUGUGGGCCAGCCAGGUCCACUUGGUCUGUCAGGUAUCCCAGGAGCCCAAGGGGAGCCUGGGUUCCAGGGGCCAAUGGGCCCCCGGGGCCUCCAGGGG
Molecule: non-coding RNA, 821 nt
Organism: Salmo salar (Atlantic salmon)
Lineage: Eukaryota; Metazoa; Chordata; Actinopteri; Salmoniformes; Salmonidae
Source: RefSeq, a predicted model, not a curated record